Molecule: ribosomal RNA, 253 nt
Filed under: uncultured bacterium
Lineage: Bacteria
Description: partial 16S ribosomal RNA
Rfam family: Bacterial small subunit ribosomal RNA
Source: RNAcentral
UACGUAGGGGGCAAGCGUUGUCCGGAAUCAUUGGGCGUAAAGAGCGUGUAGGCGGCUCGAUAAGUCUGCUGUGAAAGUCCAGGGCUCAACCCUGGAAGGCCGGUGGAAACUGUCGGGCUAGAGUCCGGAAGAGGCGAGUGGAAUUCCCGGUGUAGCGGUGAAAUGCGCAGAUAUCGGGAGGAACACCAAUGGCGAAGGCAGCUCGCUGGGACGGUACUGACGCUGAGAAGCGAAAGCAUGGGGAGCGAACAGG